CGGCUAACUCCGUGCCAGCAGCCGCGGUAAUACGGAGGAUGCGAGCGUUAUCCGGAUUCAUUGGGUUUAAAGGGUGCGUAGGCGGUUUUUUAAGUCAGUGGUGAAAUCCUGCGGCUCAACCGUAGAACUGCCAUUGAUACUGAAAAACUUGAAUAUAGUUGAGGUAGGCGGAAUGAGUAGUGUAGCGGUGAAAUGCUUAGAUAUUACUCAGGACACCGAUUGCGAAGGCAGCUUGCUAAGCUAUAAUUGACGCUGAGGCACGAAAGCGUGGGGAUCAAACAGGAUUAGGUACCCUGGUAGUCCACGCCGUAAACGAUGUUCACUCGCUGUUUGCGAUAUACAGUAAGCGGCCAAGCGAAAGCAUUAAGUGAACCACCUGGGGAGUACGUCGGCAACGGUG
RNAcentral lists this ribosomal RNA (400 nucleotides) under uncultured bacterium. Its description in RNAcentral is "bacterial SSU rRNA". It matches the Rfam family "Bacterial small subunit ribosomal RNA", at positions 494 to 896 of the family's 1533-position model. The record is from RNAcentral.